GACGAACGCUGGCGGCGUGCUUAACACAUGCAAGUCGAACGGAAAGUCCCUGCUUUUGUGGGGUGCUCGAGUGGCGAACGGGUGAGUAACACGUGAGUAACCUGCCCUGGACUUUGGGAUAACUUCAGGAAACUGGGGCUAAUACCGGAUAGGAGCUCCUGCUGCAUGGUGGGGGUUGGAAAGUUUCGGCGGUUGGGGAUGGACUCGCGGCUUAUCAGCUUGUUGGUGGGGUAGUGGCUUACCAAGGCUUUGACGGGUAGCCGGCCUGAGCGGGUGACCGGCCACAUUGGGACUGAGAUACGGCCCAGACUCCUACGGGAGGCAGCAGUGGGGAAUAUUGCACAAUGGGCGGAAGCCUGAUGCAGCAACGCCGCGUGCGGGAUGACGGCCUUCGGGUUGUAAACCGCUUUCGCCUGUGACGAAGCGUGAGUGACGGUAAUGGGUAAAGAAGCACCGGCUAACUACGUG
RNAcentral lists this ribosomal RNA (468 nucleotides) under uncultured bacterium. RNAcentral describes it as "partial 16S ribosomal RNA". It matches the Rfam family "Bacterial small subunit ribosomal RNA", at positions 28 to 507 of the family's 1533-position model. The record is from RNAcentral.